Molecule: long non-coding RNA, 166 nt
Organism: Portunus trituberculatus (swimming crab)
Lineage: Eukaryota; Metazoa; Arthropoda; Malacostraca; Decapoda; Portunidae
Exons: 3
Source: RefSeq, a predicted model, not a curated record
UGGUGAAAUGGUGUGUGUUUUUGUGUAUGUGUGUGUAUGUGUCCCCACCAGCAGGAAGGGGGUCUUCUGGCAGUGGUGAGUGAUUUCCGGCACCCACUGAAAGGAUAUUUGGUGUUUUAAUGAGGUUUUUGGGUGGUUUGUGGGGUGAAAUGGGUGUUUUUGUUCA